RNAcentral lists this ribosomal RNA (545 nucleotides) under uncultured bacterium. RNAcentral describes it as "bacterial SSU rRNA". It matches the Rfam family "Bacterial small subunit ribosomal RNA", at positions 355 to 911 of the family's 1533-position model. The record is from RNAcentral.
UGGGGAAUCUUGGACAAUGGGCGCAAGCCUGAUCCAGCAACGCCGCGUGCGGGAAGAAGGCCCUAGGGUUGUAAACCGCUUUCAGCAGGGAAGAAAAUGACGGUACCUGCAGAAGAAGGUGCGGCCAACUACGUGCCAGCAGCCGCGGUGACACGUAGGCACCAAGCGUUGUCCGGAUUUAUUGGGCGUAAAGAGCUCGUAGGCGGUUCAGUAAGUCGGGUGUGAAAACUCUGGGCUCAACCCAGAGAGGCCACCCGAUACUGCUGUGACUUGAGUACGGUAGGGGAGCGGGGGAAUUCCUGGUGUAGCGGUGAAAUGCGCAGAUGAUCAGGAGGAACACCAGUGGCGAAGGCGCCGCUCUGGGCCGUAACUGACGCUGAGGAGCGAAAGCAUGGGUAGCAAAGCAGGAUUAGAUACCCUGGUAGUCCAUGCCGUAAACGUUGGGCACUAGGUGUGGGUCUCAACCAACGAGAUCCGCGCCGUCGCUAACGCAUUAAGUGCCCCGCCUGGGGAGUACGGUCGCAAGACUAAAACUCAAAUGAAUU